This 496-nucleotide ribosomal RNA is filed under the name uncultured bacterium. Its description in RNAcentral is "partial 16S ribosomal RNA". It matches the Rfam family "Bacterial small subunit ribosomal RNA", at positions 29 to 507 of the family's 1533-position model. The record is from RNAcentral.
AUGAACGCUGGCGGCGUGCCUAAUACAUGCAAGUCGAGCGAACAGACGAGGAGCUUGCUCCUCUGACGUUAGCGGCGGACGGGUGAGUAACACGUGGAUAACCUACCUAUAAGACUGGGAUAACUUCGGGAAACCGGAGCUAAUACCGGAUAAUAUAUUGAACCGCAUGGUUCAAUAGUGAAAGACGGUUUUGCUGUCACUUAUAGAUGGAUCCGCGCCGCAUUAGCUAGUUGGUAAGGUAACGGCUUACCAAGGCAACGAUGCGUAGCCGACCUGAGAGGGUGAUCGGCCACACUGGAACUGAGACACGGUCCAGACUCCUACGGGAGGCAGCAGUAAGGAAUCUUCCGCAAUGGGCGAAAGCCUGACGGAGCAACGCCGCGUGAGUGAUGAAGGUCUUCGGAUCGUAAAACUCUGUUAUUAGGGAAGAACAAAUGUGUAAGUAACUAUGCACGUCUUGACGGUACCUAAUCAGAAAGCCACGGCUAACUACGUG